Molecule: RNase P RNA, 346 nt
Filed under: Prevotella sp.
Lineage: Bacteria; Pseudomonadati; Bacteroidota; Bacteroidia; Bacteroidales; Prevotellaceae
Description: RNase P RNA component class A
Rfam family: Bacterial RNase P class A
About the family: Ribonuclease P (RNase P) is a ubiquitous endoribonuclease, found in archaea, bacteria and eukarya as well as chloroplasts and mitochondria. Its best characterised activity is the generation of mature 5'-ends of tRNAs by cleaving the 5'-leader elements of precursor-tRNAs.
Source: RNAcentral
ACACUGCCUCGGCUUGUCGCUGGUGUCAGUCUGACACAAGAGGAAAGUCCGGGCAGCACAGGGCGCCCCACUUCUGAAAGUGGAAGUUAUUGGUGACAGUAAGUGCCGGUAGAAGAAAAUAACCGCUCUGCAAAGAGUAAGGGUGAGAAGGUGGUGUAAGAGACCACCAGCCGACGGGUGAUCGUCGGGCUGUGCCGACUGGGGGCUGCAAGUUCGCGUAUACCAUCGUCUGAGGGUUGCCCGCCCGAUUUACGAUGGAGGGUAGAACGCUUGAGCCACGGGGUGACUCGUGGACUAGAUAGAUGACAGGCUAAAACAGAACCCGGCUUACGGAGGCAGUGCUUUC